GCCAGGUGUGGUGGUGCACACCUGUAGUUCCAGCUACUCAGGAGGCUGAGGCAGUAGGAUCACUUGAGCCCAGGAGUUAGAGGCUGCAGUGAGCUGAUUUUGCAACUGCACUCUCACUUGGGUGACAGAGUGAAAUUCUGUCUCUU
This is an unclassified non-coding RNA of Papio anubis (olive baboon), 146 nucleotides long. It matches the Rfam family "Metazoan signal recognition particle RNA". Rfam says of the family: The signal recognition particle (SRP) is a universally conserved ribonucleoprotein. It is involved in the co-translational targeting of proteins to membranes. The record is from Ensembl. Lineage: Eukaryota; Metazoa; Chordata; Mammalia; Primates; Cercopithecidae.